AAAGGUUAGCUGUCUUUUUGUGAAUUCAAUCAGCAACGGAGAUCUGCCAGAAGUCAAGACACGAACAAAAUUGGAGAUUUCAAGGAGGAACUGAAAAGGGCACUGGCAGCCAAGAGGGAAAAACUAGCAGCCGCAGCCGAGUGGAGAAUGGCUGCAGCUGCAGCCCUUAGUGCUCAAGGCAAUGGCACCACUCGACAACCCAAAACUGGGGAAGCUGAUGAAAUUAACUGCUCUUGUUGUAAUGUGUCUCUAGCCGAUGGAAAGGGUUGGAGAGAAACUUGACAUAUAUUUUGUGGUUUCCACUGGAGACAACUUUUAUGACAAUGGAUUGAGCAGCGAACACGAUUCGGCAUUUGAGUCAUUUACCGAAAUCUAUAUGCAAUAGAGUCUGCUAAAGCAGUAAGUUCCCAAUAAAACUAAAAGGCUUCGUUUGUAGCUUUGUUUUAAACUCCAUCAUUUGACAUUAGUAAAGGUAGCUUUGUUUACUUAACUAGUUUUCAAUUUCUAUAAAGUUUUAGGCAACCAUGAUUACAUGGGUGAUGCAGAGGCUGACUCGGCCUCUUGCUAAGGAAGAUUGACAGCAGAUGGCUUUGCUUAAGAUCUUUUGUACUUGAACAUAUACUUGGAAUCCCAAAUUUUGUUUUUCUUUGUUCAGUUUUUGUUUUUGUUCCUGCUGUGAGUAAAGCUUUUGUUUUCAGGGAACAAAACCCAUCAAAGAUCUCUCCUCCUCUGCCUGAAAAUAUCAGCACAAUUAUGUACACAAGUGGUACCUGUGGAGCUCCUAAAGGUGUUGUGAUAACACAUGAAAAUAUUGCAUUUGGGGUCAGAGGCAUUGACCUCUUAAUGGAACCAUUAGAAGAUUGACAAGGUGUGGUACUUUCUUAUGGUAUUGUUGGUAGAAGAGAAAAGGGGAGCAGGGGUAGAAGCUCGAGAGCUUUAGAAAGAUGUUGAAGUGUGGCUGGUCGGGAGAGCACUUUAGAGCACUAGAUUAUCUGGUAUUUUCAGAUUAUGUGGAUUUAACCUGUAGAGUUAAUGGUUUGAUUGAUCGAUGUAAUGAGAUCUGGAUACUUGAACAUUUUCAAAUGAAAUUAAUUAUAAUGAUAAUUUGAUUGAAA
Molecule: long non-coding RNA, 1115 nt
Organism: Rosa chinensis
Lineage: Eukaryota; Viridiplantae; Streptophyta; Magnoliopsida; Rosales; Rosaceae
Exons: 4
Source: RefSeq, a predicted model, not a curated record